UUCUAUGGUGACAUCAUGAGGAUUAUGCCAUUCUUAAGACAAUGGAGAAGAAGAAAGUACUUUUUUGCAAGGGCAAAAGAGAAAUGGGAAAAGGGAAUCGACGGUUUUUUCCAAUAGGGCGACAUCUAGGGCUUGAAGACGACGGUUGCGUAAUGGGACCAAGUUGGAAGAGGAAGAGAGGAUAACUUAAGGGAAUAGUUUAGUAAAGUAGAGGCAAAAUAGGUAUUUUAAUUAGAUUUUAACUAUGGUAGACAUUUAACCCUUGUUUAACCCGAGAUAACUAACAAGGGGUAACUGCGGAGGUGUUUUGGAAUAAUGGUGGAACAUACGAGGGGUAUAUUAGAAAGAAAAAAAAUAGGGGUAAAUCGGAUAUUUCCGAAGUUAUGAAGGGUAUAUAGGCAAUUAUCCCUAUCAAAUACAAGAUAACCUACAACUAAACACAUAUAAGGCAACCCACAAUUGAACAAAACAAGUACCACCAUUUUACAAUUCCUCUAUGUUCAUUUCAUUCAAGUAUAUGAUCAUCAAUGGAUGGUGUUAGUACGUACUUUCCUAUAUAGCAGUUCU
Molecule: long non-coding RNA, 567 nt
Filed under: Ananas comosus (pineapple)
Lineage: Eukaryota; Viridiplantae; Streptophyta; Magnoliopsida; Poales; Bromeliaceae
Description: long non-coding RNA (ACOM_LNC026517)
Source: RNAcentral